AGAGUUUGAUCCUGGCUCAGGAUGAACGCUGGCGGCGUGCCUAACACAUGCAAGUCGAACGGAGUGUUGAGAGCUUGCUUUUAACACUUAGUGGCGGACGGGUGAGUAAUGUAUGAGCAACCUGCCUUUCAGAGGGGGACAACAGUUGGAAACGACUGCUAAUACCGCAUAAUGUAUACCGGAGGCAUCUCUGAUAUACCAAAGGAGCAAUCCGCUGAAAGAUGGGCUCAUAUCUGAUUAGUUAGUUGGUGAGGUAACGGCCCACCAAGGCGACGAUGCGUAGGGGUUCUGAGAGGAAGGUCCCCCACACUGGUACUGAGACACGGACCAGACUCCUACGGGAGGCAGCAGUGAGGAAUAUUGGUCAAUGGGCGCAGGCCUGAACCAGCCAAGUCGCGUGAGGGAAGACGGUCCUACGGAUUGUAAACCUCUUUUGUCGGGGAGUAACGUGCGGGACGCGUCCCGUAUUGAGAGUACCCGAAGAAAAAGCAUCGGCUAACUCCGUGCCAGCAGCCGCGGUAAUACGGAGGAUGCGAGCGUUAUCCGGAUUUAUUGGGUUUAAAGGGUGCGCAGGCGGCGCGCCAAGUCAGCGGUCAAAGUUCCGGGCUCAACCCGGUGUCGCCGUUGAAACUGGCGUGCUCGAGUGCGUGCGAGGAAGGCGGAAUGCGUUGUGUAGCGGUGAAAUGCAUAGAUAUGACGCAGAACUCCGAUUGCGAAGGCAGCUUUCCAGCGCGCUACUGACGCUGAGGCACGAAAGCGUGGGGAUCGAACAGGAUUAGAUACCCUGGUAGUCCACGCAGUAAACGAUGACUACUAGCUUUCCGGGGCGACUGGGUCCUGGGAGGCACAGCGAAAGCGUUAAGUAGUCCACCUGGGGAGUACGCCGGCAACGGUGAAACUCAAAGGAAUUGACGGGGGCCCGCACAAGCGGAGGAACAUGUGGUUUAAUUCGAUGAUACGCGAGGAACCUUACCCGGGCUCAAACGACAGCGGACAGCUCCUGAAAGGGAGUCUCCGGCAACGGCCGCUGUCGAGGUGCUGCAUGGUUGUCGUCAGCUCGUGCCGUGAGGUGUCGGCUUAAGUGCCAUAACGAGCGCAACCCCCAUCUCCAGUUGCCACCGGGUCGUGCCGGGCACUCUGGAGGGACUGCCAGCGCAAGCUGCGAGGAAGGCGGGGAUGACGUCAAAUCAGCACGGCCCUUACGUCCGGGGCGACACACGUGUUACAAUGGCGGAGAACAGAGGGGAGCCACGUGGCGACACGGAGCCGAUCCCGAAAAUCCGUCUCAGUUCGGAUUGGAGUCUGCAACCCGACUCCAUGAAGCUGGAUUCGCUAGUAAUCGCGCAUCAGCCAUGGCGCGGUGAAUAAGUUCCCGGGCCUUGCACUCACCGCCCGUCAAG
This 1400-nucleotide ribosomal RNA is filed under the name uncultured bacterium. RNAcentral's name for it is "bacterial SSU rRNA". It matches the Rfam family "Bacterial small subunit ribosomal RNA". The record is from RNAcentral.